CCUACGGGCGGCAGCAGUGAGGAAUAUUGGUCAAUGGUCGCAAGUCUGAACCAGCCAUGCCGCGUGCAGGAAGACGGCUCUAUGAGUUGUAAACUGCUUUUAUACGGGGGUAAACGCAGAUACGUGUGUCUGUCUGUAAGUACCGUACGAAUAAGGAUCGGCUAACUACGUGCCAGCAGCCGCGGUAAUACGGAGGAUUCGAGCGUUAUCAGGAUUUAUUGGGUUUAAAGGGUGCGUAGGCGGUCGGAUAAGUUAGAGGUGAAAUCCCGAGGCUCAACUGCGGAAUUGCUACUGAUACUGUUAGGCUAGAGAGUAGUUGCGGUAGGCGGAAUGUAUGGUGUAGCGGUGAAAUGCUUAGAGAUCAUACAGAACACCGAUUGCGAAGGCAGCUUACCAAGCUACUUCUGACGUUGAGGCACGAAAGCGUGGGGAGCAAACAGGAUUAGAUACCCCUGUAGUC
RNAcentral lists this ribosomal RNA (460 nucleotides) under uncultured bacterium. RNAcentral describes it as "partial 16S ribosomal RNA". It matches the Rfam family "Bacterial small subunit ribosomal RNA", at positions 338 to 795 of the family's 1533-position model. The record is from RNAcentral.